UUCGGAGUUGCUCAUCACAAACAUUGAGGCCAAAUGGCCUGGCGGUGUCCAUGAUGCUAGGAUACUAAGGGAAAGCCAUCUGGCACAAAGGCUUGCACAAGGUAAGACAACCUUCAUCAUGUCUCAACACUAGUAUGGAUGAGGGUCUGCAAAGAUGAAUGAAUGAAUCAUGUAAUUCAUAGCCACUGUUUUCUCACCUUGCAGGGGGGUUUGAGGGGGUCCUUCUCCGGGACAGGGGUUAUCCCUGCCUCCCAAACCUUUUAACCCCAUAUCCUGAGCCAAGGGCUGCAGCUGAGGCAGCAUUUAAUAAUGCCCUCAGCACCACCAGGGCACGAAUUGAGAUGGUUUUUGGCCUGCUCAAGUCCAGGUUAAAGGCUGCUUUGAUCAACCUUUAAUGCAGAAAAUAUCUUUGUACAAAAUUUUAUUUUAACAUGUCAUCUUGUUCCAAUCUCUGCAGGUUCCAGUGCCUAAAAUAUCUGAGGCAGGCUCCUGACCGGGCCUGCGACAUAGUGGUUGCGUGCGCAGUACUCCACAACAUAGCCACCAUCCGGAGGGAGAGGCUUCCACAGCUUCUCCCCGAAGACAGAUGGGAAGAGCCUGCCCCUGUACAGGGACCCAGAGAUGGGAGGAUCCUGAGGAAUCUGUACAGGGACACCUAUUUCUCUUGAACCCAACCCCCCUAUUUUGUUAAAUUCCUUGUCAUGUCCAUUUAUUUGGCCUAGCCACUUUUUUCUCCCACCCCACAUUGUAGAGGCAAGGCACAUUUAUUUGUAUGGCCCAUUUUCACAAGCAGUAUGACACAAAGGGCUUUACAUAUCAACAUAACAUCCUCUACCCUUAGACCCUCACUGAAACAAGACAGAAUGACAAGACAAAAUGGCUUUUGAAUAUUUAUUGUCCUGAGUCACCAAGCUGGGGAGACAGAAUGUUAC
Molecule: non-coding RNA, 932 nt
Organism: Xyrichtys novacula (pearly razorfish)
Lineage: Eukaryota; Metazoa; Chordata; Actinopteri; Labriformes; Labridae
Source: the annotation of a GenBank genome assembly